UGGGGGAAUCUUCCGCAAUGGGCGAAAGCCUGACGGAGCAACGCCGCGUGAGUGAAGAAGGUCUUCGGAUCGUAAAGCUCUGUUGAGAGGGACGAGAGAUUACUUCAGGAAAUGGGAGUAAGAGGACGGUACCUUUCGAGGAAGCCACGGCUAACUACGUGCCAGCAGCCGCGGUAAUACGUAGGUGGCGAGCGUUGUCCGGAAUUAUUGGGCGUAAAGGGAGCGCAGGUGGGACUUCAAGUCAGUCUUAAAAGUGCGGGGCUCAACCCCGUGAUGGGAUUGAAACUGUGAGACUUGAGUGCAGAAGGGGAGAGUGGAAUUCCAUGUGUAGCGGUGAAAUGCGUAGAUAUAUGGAGGAACACCGGUGGCGAAAGCGGCUCUCUGGUCUGUAACUGACGCUGAGGCUCGAAAGCGUGGGGAGCAAACAGGAUUAGAUACCCUGGUAGU
This 447-nucleotide ribosomal RNA is filed under the name uncultured Selenomonas sp. RNAcentral describes it as "bacterial SSU rRNA". It matches the Rfam family "Bacterial small subunit ribosomal RNA", at positions 354 to 794 of the family's 1533-position model. Lineage: Bacteria; Bacillati; Bacillota; Negativicutes; Selenomonadales; Selenomonadaceae. The record is from RNAcentral.